GAUGAACGCUGGCGGCGUGCCUAAUACAUGCAAGUCGAGCGAACAGACGAGGAGCUUGCUCCUCUGACGUUAGCGACGGACGGGUGAGUAACACGUGGAUAACCUACCUAUAAGACUGGGAUAACUUCGGGAAACCGGAGCUAAUACCGGAUAAUAUAUUGAACCGCAUGGUUCAAUAGUGAAAGACGGUUUUGCUGUCACUUAUAGAUGGAUCCGCGCCGCAUUAGCUAGUUGGUAAGGUAACGGCUUACCAAGGCGACGAUGCGUAGCCGACCUGAGAGGGUGAUCGGCCACACUGGAACUGAGACACGGUCCAGACUCCUACGGGAGGCAGCAGUAGGGAAUCUUCCGCAAUGGGCGAAAGCCUGACGGAGCAACGCCGCGUGAGUGAUGAAGGUCUUCGGAUCGUAAUACUCUGUUAUUAGGGAAGAACAAAUGUGUAAGUAACUAUGCACGUCUUGACGGUACCUAAUCAGAAAGCCACGGCUAACUACGUG
Molecule: ribosomal RNA, 497 nt
Filed under: uncultured bacterium
Lineage: Bacteria
Description: partial 16S ribosomal RNA
Rfam family: Bacterial small subunit ribosomal RNA
Source: RNAcentral